GUGGCUCGUCAUGGGAAAAAUCAUAUGACAAAUCAUAUGAUAAAUCAUGUAGUGUAAAGUCGACUUAACUCUUGUAUUUUUAAUUUGACGAAGAAAAGUUAUUCUUCAUAAAAAUCUCUUCUUGGUCUAAGAUUUAUGAUGCAACCAUUAUGAAUUAAAUUUUAUUAAUUUUAUACGAGGCUGACCAACUGUGAAAUUUCGUAGAAACCGACUAUCAUUUCGCUUACGUAGCGUCAUGUCUCUGUGGUGUGGCGUAUAGAGCGUUUUCUUGCUAUGCAGGCGACCCGGGUUCAAAUCCUACUAAG
Long non-coding RNA from Diabrotica virgifera virgifera (western corn rootworm), 305 nucleotides. RefSeq lists it as uncharacterized. The record is from RefSeq and is a predicted model, not a curated record. The transcript is spliced from 2 exons. NCBI's taxonomy places the organism in Eukaryota, Metazoa, Arthropoda, Insecta, Coleoptera, Chrysomelidae.